GCAGGCAGGUGGGGAGGAGGCACCCUGCACAGGUGCUCCCCUGGGCCGGCUGCUCAGGGAGCGUUGCAUAGCCUUGGUAAGUCCCUGGGCCAGACUCACUUGAGCUGGGCCUGACGAGGGGUGGGGAGGAGGCAGCUGGAGAAUGUAGCCUGUGGGGAGGCAAGAGGCAGAGACACCGGGACACCUGGGCUACUGCCAAGAGUCCAGCGUGUCUGGAGUAUGGAGUGAGGGGUGAGCAAGACGGAGGCCAAUGUGGAACCAAGGCAGCCUCCAGGAAGGCCCCAGAGGCCAGGCUGAGAGCUUACCUCAGCACAGGACACUGGGGGCUGUGGGGUGGCCUCAAGCUUCAGCAGAAGUGGUGGGUCUGAGUUUUAACAGAUCACUCAGUGUGGAGAACUGGAUGGAAGGAGAAAAGCCUGGAGCAAAAUGACCAGUGAGAGGGCUGGUGCAGUGCCCUGGGCCUGUGAGAGGUGGCCCGUGCCGGUGGAGACCAGUAGGAGAGGCAGAGAUGCUGCAGGCGCUGGAUCUGCAGAACACAGCUCAGCAACCAGCAGGGUCUUGAGCUGGAAACAGAGUCACAGUGGCCACUCGUGGAGGUGAAGAAAGAGGAGCAACAGCUCGUGGGAAUGCGCGCCUGGAUGCUGGGUGUCACCACAAGCACAUGGUUGAUGUUGGGACACAUUACAUCUCUCACACAGCCAGUUGCCAGCUUGCCAAGACUUUGGGGUGGGCACAGGGGCCUGGUGAGGCUGCUGCUGGGUCCCAAGAGGUCACUGUGUACCAGCUGCAGGUGUGGCAUGUUGAAGAAUUUGCCCAUGCCAGGUGUACCAGAGAGGAGCACAUCUUCUUAAGACAGGGAACAGCUGACGGCUCCUUGGAAAGGCUCCCCUGCUUACAGAGGCCAGGUGUGUCCCCCACCCCCCCCACCCCCGUCAAAGUUUUUAUGAAUUAUUUUACUGCAAUGCUUACUGAAUUGACUAGAACAUAUAACAUCAUAUUGGACUAUAAUGCAAACAGCAGAAAUCCAUGAUAUUCAUUGUAUAAACUGAACUGAUUUUGUAUUUCACCAUUUAGAAUAUUUUCUGUUUGUGUUUGACAAGUAGAUUUUUCAAGUCAUCAAAUGGCUACAACUUUUUAAUUCUUUCAGAGUUCCUACUUAGAGUGACUAUUAGGUUUUCCAAAUGCUUCUUAAGGAUCUAUUGAUAGGACCAUAUUGUUAUGUUUUAAAUUAUUUUAGUAGAUUUUAUAGUAUCAAACCAUCCUUGCAAUGUAUGAGCAGAUCCAAGCUGGCUGCAGUAUAUUAAUCUAUGCAAAUAGUCUUGAAUUGUAUUUUCUAUAUUUUUAUUCAUAACUUUUAUCUGUAAUCAUACAUAAUGUUGUUUGAGAUUUUUAAAUAUUAUCUAUUUGUAAAACAAUUAUUUUGACCAGAACUCUGUAUUAAAAUUACUCUAGCUUCAUGACUGACCCAGUAGGGAGGCUUUUCUCUUUUCAUGUGAUUGGAAUUGACAGUUUAAAGAGCAGUGAAACCAUCUGGCCUCUAGGGCUGGGCUUUGCUCAGUGCUGGAAUCCUCUGGAUGUGGACUUACAACACCAGCUCCUCCGACGCCUUCCCAAGACUGCAACUCAGCCUCUGUACACUCUCUGCUUCAUCUUGGAUCAGUUAUUGCAACUCACAUUUGGUUAGUAGUUAAACAUUCCCCCAGGUUUUCAAAUUUGUUAUUAAAAGGUUGUAUAACCGCCUAAUGUAUUAUAUGUAAUGCACUGUAUUUACUUAUGCAUGAUGUCAUGUAUUAAUAUCAUUAUGUCCUAGUACAUUUGAUAGGUCAAAUGUUAUAUAUAUUUGUAUAAUUGUAUAUUACACAUAUGUUUUGUCUCCUCCCUUGUUCUAAUCAUGCAUUUUUCCCUUCAAUCUUUAUUUUAAAAUUUUAUCAUAAACAAAUUUACAAGGGGUUUGUCUAGUAUACUGGUAUUUUCACAAACUAGCUCUUGGGUUUAUUAUUCAUUCUUUUAUUUUUGCCAUUGUUUUAAAAUUAUUAUUAUGCUCAUUUUUUUCUUCACUAAUUUCCUCUUCCUGCUUUCUUUUGGUUUAUUUUAAUUGUUUCCCUAGUUUUCUAUAAUAUAAAGUUUCAUUAUUUUUAAUAUCUCUUUUUUAAUGCAAGCUUUUAAGUUUCUUCAUAUUUCUCUAGGUAAAAUUUAUGCAAUAUUUUAGCUUUGAUGACCUCCUUAUUCCAAAAUUUCUCUAGGGGUAUAUUUCUUAAUUUUUAAGUGUGAAUUUUAUAACGUUUUUAAUGUAUUUUAUAAUGAUAAGAAAUCCUUUCUUUGUUCUAUCAACUUACAAAAUAAUUUUUAUUAUCUAUUUGACAGAUUAUGGAUUCAUAGAUUUCAUUAUGGUUUUAAUUUUGGUCUGUAACUUGUAACUGACUUAGAGAAGGGAAGGAUAUACUAAAAUCUCCCCAGAAUAUAACAUUUUAAUAUAAUUCUUCUAUUCCUAAUAGGUUUUGCUUCAUAUCUUUAACUGCUCUUUUGUGUGCAUACAAAGAUCUAUGAGCCUUUUGCUUGCCUGGGUUGUCUGAGAAGCAGACAUCGGGAUGGGACUGAAUGUGGUGGAAUCUUCCGUGGGAGGUCAACGUAAAGGAACCGGGAGAGGCUGGGGAGGUGUCGCCCGUAGUACAGCUCUGACUCCAAGUACGGGGUUGCUGGGGGAAGGCAGGUGGAGACAGAGCAUCUUGGACGGCAGGCCUCAUAAGAGUCCAUCAAGGCUGUCAGCAGGCCAGGACCAUGGCUGGCUGUCCUGGAAUGCGUGCCCUCCAGGAAGGCUGGCUGGUACUGUGCUGCUCUCCUCCCUGCCUAGGAGGAGCCACCUGGCAGCCACAGCCUGACACGGGGUGCCGGGAGCAGCAGCCAUGUGCUGGUCAUAUGUGCUCCCUGUGGUUGAAAUCAGGUGGUGUGUCCAAUGACACAUGCAUCCAUGUGCCUUCUUCAAAGAGAAGCACGACCUCUGUUAUUAGCCCAGUAUUUUAGCAUUUUCCAAAGCUAUUAGCUCUUGGGAUCUUUUCUCCUACAGAAUAUGGGCAGCACAUUCUAAGAAAUGCUCUUCUCAUUGCUCAUCCUUUGACAGUGCCCUUGUCAUGUCUGAAAUAUUUCACCAACGAUAUCUAUGAAGACAGAGACAACACUUAUGUCAAAUUUGCAGCUGACACUGAAAAAAAAGGAAAAAUAAA
Molecule: long non-coding RNA, 3221 nt
Organism: Marmota monax (woodchuck)
Lineage: Eukaryota; Metazoa; Chordata; Mammalia; Rodentia; Sciuridae
Exons: 3
Source: RefSeq, a predicted model, not a curated record